Protobothrops mucrosquamatus (brown spotted pit viper) is the source of this 381-nucleotide long non-coding RNA. RefSeq lists it as uncharacterized. The record is from RefSeq and is a predicted model, not a curated record. NCBI's taxonomy places the organism in Eukaryota, Metazoa, Chordata, Lepidosauria, Squamata, Viperidae. The transcript is spliced from 3 exons.
CAUCAGCAUACUAAUGACACUUCACUUCAAGAUGACAGAUGGUCUCUCCCAGCGACCUCAAAUAGAUGUUAAAUAACAUAGAAGAGAUCCCUAGUCUUGUGGCAUCCCACACAGGAGCAACCAAGGAUUCAACUUCUGUUCCUCUAUAAUUAUUGACUGCAACUGCUGAUUCAGAAUGUAAAAGAACCUCUAUGGGCAAUACAUUCUGAAGAAACUGUUCUCUCAAAAAUUGGCCCUUCUGAACUCAGUCUUCGCAGAAUAUCGCCAUUCGUCAUCCGGAAAGGAAUACACGAUCAGAAUUACAAAUGUCUACCACAAGACUAAAAUGUGAUGAUAUGUUAUGUUCCUUACCAUAAGCACCCAUAAAAUGAGCUCCAUUGC